Sorghum bicolor (sorghum) is the source of this 158-nucleotide long non-coding RNA. RefSeq lists it as uncharacterized. NCBI's taxonomy places the organism in Eukaryota, Viridiplantae, Streptophyta, Magnoliopsida, Poales, Poaceae. The record is from RefSeq and is a predicted model, not a curated record. The transcript has 3 exons.
GAACCGAUAGCCGGUACGCCUAGCCUCCCAGACGUGUACGGAUGUCGUAGAGGUAGAGGAUGCCGGACGCCGUCUUAGGGAUGGCCAGCGGUCGGACGCAGGACUUCAGGGACACUCCCAAGCAACCCUACACGAGUUAGGGAAGACCGCAUGAGCCG